CCCUUAGAUGUUCUGGGCUGCACGCGCGCUACACUGAAGCUAUCAACACGUUUUCCCUCCCUGAGAAGGGCGGGUAACCUUUUGAAUCAGCUUCGUGGUAGGGAUCGGGGCUUGCAAUUGUUCCCCGUGAACCAGGAAUUCCUAGUAGACGCGAGUCAUAAGCUCGCAUCGAUUAAGUCCCUGCCCUUUGUACACACCGCCCGUCGCUACUACCGAUUGAACGUUUUAGUGAGACAUUUGGACCGACGCAUCUCAGUUUAACCGCUGGUUUGUGUUGGAAAGACUUCCAAACUUGAGCGUUUAGAGGAAGUAAAAGUCGUAACA
Molecule: ribosomal RNA, 324 nt
Filed under: uncultured eukaryote
Lineage: Eukaryota
Description: partial 18S ribosomal RNA
Rfam family: Eukaryotic small subunit ribosomal RNA
Source: RNAcentral